UACGUAGGUGGCAAGCGUUGUCCGGAUUUACUGGGCGUAAAGGAUGCGUAGGCGGACAUUUAAGUCAGAUGUGAAAUACCCGAGCUUAACUUGGGUGCUGCAUUUGAAACUGGGUGUCUAGAGUGCAGGAGAGGUAAGUGGAAUUCCUAGUGUAGCGGUGAAAUGCGUAGAGAUUAGGAAGAACACCAGUGGCGAAGGCGACUUACUGGACUGUAACUGACGCUGAGGCAUGAAAGCGUGGGGAG
RNAcentral lists this ribosomal RNA (245 nucleotides) under uncultured bacterium. RNAcentral's name for it is "partial 16S ribosomal RNA". It matches the Rfam family "Bacterial small subunit ribosomal RNA", at positions 524 to 768 of the family's 1533-position model. The record is from RNAcentral.